Molecule: long non-coding RNA, 1201 nt
Organism: Tyto alba (common barn owl)
Lineage: Eukaryota; Metazoa; Chordata; Aves; Strigiformes; Tytonidae
Exons: 2
Source: RefSeq, a predicted model, not a curated record
ACCAGCAUGAGUUGCCACAUGCCCUGCUCGGGGGCGCUGGGGGGGUCCAUGCCGUAGGCGCCGAACGAGAAGGGGCAGCAGAGGAAGGAGAAGGUGAAGCUGAAGAGCAAGACUCUGAAGCAGUUGGAGGAAGUGCAGUGAAUGAGGAAAUUUUCAAGAAAACAGGUUUCUGUGCGCACUUCUGCCUGUCUGGGAGUACAAAUUGGUCAGUGGCUGUGGAGGGCUGCUCUCGUGACAGGAGUUAAUGAUCAUUCCCCAUAAAAUUGCAUUCAGUGCCUCAUCAAAAACUUGGGAGUCUGUGUGUUGGUUUUGAAAAAAACCUUCCAGCUCUGCCUAUAAUGCUACUACCAUUAAUACUACCACAUACCACUAUUACCAAGUUGCCAUCAAAGAAUACAAUACUGUAAUCUUUUCUGUAACCAUUGCGUCUGAUUUGGGGUUUAUGAGACUGAUUCCAAACUCACUGAAGACCAGAGAAAGGACUCCAGUGUUUCUUCUGGCUUUGGCUCAAGCAUUUGUAAGAAUCAGGUCUCCGAAAAUGUCAAAAUAGAAGACUUUAAUAGGUUACAAACAUUUGGCUUUUCAAAGGUAGUGCAGGAAUACUUUCCAGAAUCAAACCAGAAUCACGGGUAUGUUGAAGAUCUAAUUGCUGAUUUUUGUGUCAGUGCUCCCAGAUUCUGGUUCUGGAUUUGGGCCGAAGAGCCUCAAGAUCAACAGCAGGCAGGAAUUCUUUAAGAUUCGUUACAGCUGUGAGUUAUGUUGGUACUUAAUUUCUGUAUAGGAAAGCUUUAAAAAAAAUAUCUCUGAUAUAUGAUCUAAAGCAACAUAGUUUUUUGUAUUAAUAUUUUAGUACUUUAUGUUGAUCUUAGCUCUCCAGACUCAGCAGUCAUUCUUUUGAACCUAUAUAGACCUCAUUAGAAAAAAAGGAAUGAAUCAGCAUUGCUGGAGUUUGUGUGUUACAAGUUCAAAAUAUUUCACACUUGAGACAAUGCCUGUUACUUACUUCGUGUUCACGUGAUGCCACUCAUGGUGGUUUCCUCGUCUGCGACUUAGGCCUUCAAACACUACAGAGCUGCAAAAAUAGCUGGUAUUUAGAUUUCUGUAACUUCUUUCAGGAAGAAAGUAAAGGAGUUGGAUCUGCUGGCCCGAGUGCUGGAAACAGGAAGAGAUGUUUACCUGAAAUUAAAUUAAAUAUAACAAA